UGCGUGAGUCGUAUAAAUGCUCGCGUGCCCCUUUCUCCUUCCUCUUUCCAUCAUUGUGUGCAGUAGAGAGAGGAACUGGAUCCAGCAGGCAUUCCUCAUCCAGAUAUGGCCUUUAAAAAGAAAAGACUGCUCUUCAUGAAGUGCUGGGAAAUUUGUAUGUGCUACUUGUGCACAGAAUGACUUGGCUUUCUGCUGGGAUGUUGGCUCGGUAAAAUGAACAUGGGUUCCUAUGGCAAGUUUGUGAUGUGGCCAAGUGAAGCACACACAGGAUGAUCGUUGCUGGAGGACCUGUGCUAGGCAUCUUCAUGGUAGAUGGAGGAGACCUUGUCUAUGGUUGGCUUGACUACAGGUGGCUGUUUUGAAUGGAGUAUACUCAUUGACAGGUGAAGUUGUCUGCAUCCUGUAUCAAGACGCACGAGGCUCAACAGAUUGACAUGCAGUUUGAUGGCUGAGCUCUAGCUGUACUGUGAUCUGAACAAGACCUGGACAUUCUGGCGUUUUCCACUUCGUUAAAUAGAUGUUUAAUUUGAUUGUAUUUGAAUCAUUAUCCGGUGUUCAAAAUUGGUGCCACAUUGUUGUUCUGGUUUUUAAAGGCCAGUAAGUUAAACUGCUGUAAAAAUAGAGUUGAAAUUAUUCAACCUCAGUUCUAAUCAUGACUAAUUGUUUAAUUUAGGCUUGUAAAGUGCCAAUUUAGUGAUCACAUAUGGGGCAGGGGAAACAAUUUCAUUUUAAUAUAAAAUUGUCUUUGAAUGUGGAAUAGGUUUUUUUUUUUUUUUUUUUUUUUGGGCAAGUUAGUAGUGGUCCAUGAUGUUAGUGGUUACCUUUGUGCCUUUUUACUGUUUACUACCAACUGGGUUGUGUUAAGUAUUCAACAUUUUGAGCAAACAUGGUGAAUUAAGGUGGACAGAAUGGAUGGGUUCUUUUUAAUGUUUGUAAAAGUGAUAGAGGCCUUGCCCUUUACAUACAAUUUUUCACUGUCAUACAGUGUUGCUUUUGCAAAAGCAAUCUAUAAAUUGACAACCACUUUGUUCUGGAUAUUCAUGUUUAUUGCUGCAACGGUAUUAAAUCUCAAUGAGACCAAA
Molecule: long non-coding RNA, 1082 nt
Organism: Silurus meridionalis
Lineage: Eukaryota; Metazoa; Chordata; Actinopteri; Siluriformes; Siluridae
Exons: 12
Source: RefSeq, a predicted model, not a curated record